UGGUGAAUCAUUUUCNGAGGACAGCCUA
This 28-nucleotide non-coding RNA is filed under the name Mus musculus (house mouse). The record is from RNAcentral. Lineage: Eukaryota; Metazoa; Chordata; Mammalia; Rodentia; Muridae.